RNAcentral lists this ribosomal RNA (441 nucleotides) under uncultured bacterium. Its description in RNAcentral is "partial 16S ribosomal RNA". It matches the Rfam family "Bacterial small subunit ribosomal RNA", at positions 338 to 795 of the family's 1533-position model. The record is from RNAcentral.
CCUACGGGAGGCAGCAGUGGGGGAUAUUGCACAAUGGGGGGAACCCUGAUGCAGCGACGCCGCGUGGGUGAAGGAGUAUUUCGGUAUGUAAAGCCCUAUCGGCAGGGAAGAAAUUGGACGGUACCUGACUAAGAAGCCCCGGCUAACUACGUGCCAGCAGCCGCGGUAAUACGUAGGGGGCAAGCGUUAUCCGGAUUCACUGGGUGGAAAGGGAGCGUAGACGGCCAUGCAAGCCAGGGGUGAAAGCCCGGGGCCCAACCCCGGGACUGCCCUUGGAACUGCAUGGCUGGAGUGCGGGAGGGGGAGGCGGAAUGCCAGGUGUAGCGGUGAAAGGCGUAGAUAUCAGGAGGAACACCGGCGGCGAAGGCGGCCUGCUGGACCGCGACUGACGUUGAGGCGCGAAAGCGUGGGGAGCGAACAGGAUUAGAUACCCGGGUAGUC